CCACUAUGCUUAGCCAUAAAACAUUAACCCACACCCAACCCGCCAGGGAAUUACGAGCCCAAGCUUAAAACCCAAAGGACUUGACGGUGCCCCACCCACCUAGAGGAGCCUGUUCUAUAAUCGAUUCUCCCCGAUCUACCUCACCGCCUCUUGAACAACCAGUCUGUAUACCUCCGUCGCAAGCUUACCAUGUGAACGCACACAGUGAGCCAAAAGAUACACCACCCAUACGUCAGGUCAAGGUGCAGCCCACGAAGCGGGAAGAAAUGGGCUACAAUCUCUACCAUAGAACAAACGGAAGACUGUAUGAAACACAGUUAUGAAGGCGGAUUUAGUAGUAAAAAGAAAACAGAGUGUUCUUUUUAACUAGGCGCUGGGACGCGUACACACCGCCCGUCACCCUCUUCAAACAAACUUAAAAGUCACUAACACUAUACUACUAAAUAGAAGAGGCAAGUCGUAACACGGUAAGUGUACUGGAAAGUGCACUUGGAUUAACAAAAUGUAACUUAACUAAAGUAUCUUGCUUACACCAAGACUAUGUCAGUGAAACUCUAACCACUUUGAGCCUAAAUCUCAGCCCUAUUAAUUCCACAUGAAACUUUAUUCCUUUUUCCUAACAACAAAACAUUUUUUCAACUAAGUAAAGGCGAUUAAAAAGUUACUAGGAGCCCCAACACCAGUACCGCAAGGGAAAAGUGAAAUAAAAAUGAAAUAAAUCUAAAGCACAACGCAGUAAAGACUCCCCCCUUGUA
RNAcentral lists this ribosomal RNA (755 nucleotides) under Choerophryne sp. SJR9926. RNAcentral describes it as "partial 12S ribosomal RNA". The stretch from base 1 to 505 matches the Rfam family "Bacterial small subunit ribosomal RNA", at positions 787 to 1533 of the family's 1533-position model. Lineage: Eukaryota; Metazoa; Chordata; Amphibia; Anura; Microhylidae. The record is from RNAcentral.